RNAcentral lists this ribosomal RNA (685 nucleotides) under Carcharhinus limbatus (blacktip shark). RNAcentral's name for it is "partial small subunit ribosomal RNA". It matches the Rfam family "Bacterial small subunit ribosomal RNA", at positions 513 to 1502 of the family's 1533-position model. Lineage: Eukaryota; Metazoa; Chordata; Chondrichthyes; Carcharhiniformes; Carcharhinidae. The record is from RNAcentral.
CACCGCGGUUAUACGAGUAACUCAUAUUAACACACCCCGGCGUAAAGAGUGAUUAAAGAAUGACCUCUAACUACUAAAGUUUAGACCUCAUAAAACUGUUAUACGUAUCCAUGAGUGGAAUAAACAACAACGAAAGUGACUUUAUAUAUUAAGGAACCUUGAUGUCACGACAGUUGGGACCCAAACUAGGAUUAGAUACCCUACUAUGCCCAACCACAAACUUAAACAACAUCCCACUAUAUUGUUCGCCAGAGUACUACAAGCGCUAGCUUAAAACCCAAAGGACUUGGCGGUAUCCCAUACCCACCUAGAGGAGCCUGUUCUAUAACCGAUAAUCCCCGUUCAACCUCACCACUUCUUGCCAUUACCGUCUAUAUACCGCCGUCGUCAGCCCACCCUGUGAAGGACUAAAAGUAAGCAAAAAGAAUAAAACUCCAAAACGUCAGGUCGAGGUGUAGCAAAUGAAGUGGGAAGAAAUGGGCUACAUUUUUUUUCAAAAACAUACGAAUGGUAAACUGAAAACAUACCUAAAGGUGGAUUUAGCAGUAAGAGGAGAUCAGAAUACUCCCCUGAAAUCGGCUCUGGGAUAAGCACACACCGCCCGUCACUCUCCUCAAAAACAACCUAUCCUUUUUCAUAAACACAUCUCUUUAAUAAGAGGAGGCAAGUCGUAACAUGGUAAGUG